CGACAUAGACUCCUCGCGUAUCCCGAGCAGAGGCUGUUGUGCCGCAGCGCCAGCGCCCCUUGCCUGUUCGAGAGAGUCUCUCUCUCCUUCCACCUCUGUUCUUCGGCCCCUACCCACCACCUCAGAACUCGUGCAACUGCCCAUCUAGCUUUUCUUGUGUGCUCGAAUGCCCAAGAAACACCGUGUGAAGCGACAAAACUAUGUUGCCCACCUGCGCAACCUCGAGAAGGAGCGGGAGACCUACCUGCAGAAGCGCCGCGCGCACAAGCGCAGCCGCGAGACGGGAAACGAGGAAGUAAUGGGUGAGGCACGCGACAGGAUGGAGGCUGGUGCACCGAAGAAGCGUCGCACCGAGGCGGACGCCUCCACAGCGGCGAGCGCGAGGAACGAAGAGGGGGCAGCGCCGCACACGCAUUUGUCCCUGACAACGUCAGCAAAAAGCGCUGCUGCCGCUGAGACAGUUCCAGCAAAGCGGCGCUCCUUUUCCACGAAAUCAUUCGCAGAGUUGGUGAAAGCGUCCACGGCGACUGCGCAGACGACCGAUGCAGCUCCGCGCGACACGUCGGCGAUUACCACAACCGCGAAGAAGACGCUCAAACGCCGCAACUACUGACGCAAAAAAAAAUUUCACCAGGGCAUGUGAGAGCACUGCCCAACGUCGCACGCUGAUGGAGGAGUGCGUUGUUGGUCUCCACCUUCUGUAUAUAUAUAUAUGUGUGUGUGUGUAAGUAUACCGCGUUGUACGGAUAAGCGACGAAUAAAGUACACUGACGUAAAACGACGUGCUGGCAAAGACGUCCACAAAAAGUUCCCCUACAGGGAGCACCUCCAUUUGCUGUCCUUUGCCCUUCCCCUCUUUCCGCAGAGGGUGAGUGGCGCGAUCAGUCUGCAUGGAGCUUCUUGACAGGAAGGGCAACUAUCGUGAGCAUAUUGCCUACUGCUCGUGAGGCUGGUAAGAGUCACCAUGGGAAGAAACGCUUUCACGGUGUGUUGUUUCGCUGCUGCUGCUGUUUCUUUUCCCUCGCGUUUUGUGGGUGCCGAAUCCGGUGGCAGCAUCGCCGUCGCAAGCGCAGGAUUGUCUCUCGACCCCAUCCCUAUCCCCUCUCUUCUCCUCACGCCGGUUUCACCGCGCUGAGUUCGCCGUAGUUUGUGUCCAUCCUCGAUAUAUAUCCUCAG
Molecule: unclassified non-coding RNA, 1176 nt
Filed under: Leishmania donovani
Lineage: Eukaryota; Euglenozoa; Kinetoplastea; Trypanosomatida; Trypanosomatidae
Description: gene:LdHU3.32.2610(CDS-product:hypothetical_prote in_conserved)
Source: RNAcentral